UUCUCUGUUUUUCACGGUACUACACUGUUUUAUUUUGUCCUUUUUCUUUUCCCUUUUUCAUAUUUUUUUGUUGUCCGGAAAUACAUGAACCUUUUUUGUUCUAGCUGAACACUUAUUUAUUUAUCGUGAAACAUUUUUUUAUCAUAGGUGAACACUUUUUUAAUUUAUCAUGAACCAUUUUUUUUCAAACAUAAACCAUUUUUUACCAUGCACCAUUUUUCAUUAUAGCUGAACAUUUUUUAAUUUAUUGCGAACCUUUUUGUAACAUCGGUGAACAUUUUUCUAAAACUAGACUAACCUUUUUUUGUCAUGUGUGAACAUUUUUUUUUUGAGAAUCCUGUGUGAACAUUUCUAUUUCAUGUUUUUUUGAGCUAAAAACAAAACCGACCCUAUUGUUGGGCCGGACCAAAGCCGGCCUAGCAUCAGAUCGCUGCGGGGGGGUGUUAGGGAACUCAUAAAAGGAUCAUGGCACAUGAAACCGGCCCAGCCAACGUUGAGUCUGCAUAACCCUAACCUAGAAGUGUCAUUUCUCCUUCGGCGGCCGCCGCCUGUUGUUCCCCUUCCGUGUUCAUCGUCCGUCUCCAACUGAUCCGCCCGGCGAUCGUCAGAUCCAUCUGAGAAAAUCCGCUCCAGUUAAAUCCAAUCCAGAUGGAGCUAGCUAGGAUGGAUCCACCCGGCGUCGAGCUCCCCAAGAGCUGCCUCCUCGCUAUCAAGCCUGUGGUCGCCGAUUCCACCAACGCCACCACCGCCACCUACCAGACGGAGCACCCGGAUGACUCUCGCGCGAUCUCCAUUCAGGUGCAAAGGGAGACCUGGAAUGGCUAGGAACGCACCGUGAACAGCAAGGCGGCGUGGAGCUUAUGAUGCGGAUGACAAGGAGCUGGAACAUGUGAAGCCGGGUCUGAUUUAGUUUAACACUGAUGAAUGCCUACAUCGAUUUGCAUUGCGUUUGUCAAAGUUUGAUUGUGAGAGUUUUAUUAACAUAUUGGUGUGCACCGAUCCAGGAUUGUUGUUAUAUGGAAGAAAAACCACCGACAUUGUGUUUGUCCAUUUUUUAUGUAUUAAGAGGUUUCAGUACUCGAGUGCAUUGAUAUUAUUAGCUCGUA
This is a long non-coding RNA of Aegilops tauschii subsp. strangulata, 1106 nucleotides long. RefSeq lists it as uncharacterized. The record is from RefSeq and is a predicted model, not a curated record. NCBI's taxonomy places the organism in Eukaryota, Viridiplantae, Streptophyta, Magnoliopsida, Poales, Poaceae.